This 305-nucleotide ribosomal RNA is filed under the name uncultured bacterium. RNAcentral's name for it is "bacterial SSU rRNA". It matches the Rfam family "Bacterial small subunit ribosomal RNA", at positions 333 to 631 of the family's 1533-position model. The record is from RNAcentral.
GUUCUCCUACGGGAGGCAGCAGUAGGGAAUUUUCGUCAAUGGGCGCAAGCCUGAACGAGCAAUGCCGCGUGAACGAGGAAGGUCUUCGGAUCGUAAAGUUCUGUUGAAGGGGAAAAAGAGCGGAGAGAGGAAAUGGUCUCCGAUUGAUAUUACCCUUCGAGGAAGUCACGGCUAACUACGUGCCAGCAGCCGCGGUAAUACGUAGGUGGCGAGCGUUAUCCGGAUUUAUUGGGCGUAAAGCGUCCGCAGCCGGUUUAUUAAGUAUAGAAUAAAACUUCGGGGCUCAACCCCGUCUCGUUCUAUAA